GAUGAACGCUGGCGGCGUGCCUAAUACAUGCAAGUCGAGCGAACAGACGAGGAGCUUGCUCCUCUGACGUUAGCGGCGGACGGGUGAGUAACACGUGGAUAACCUACCUAUAAGACUGGGAUAACUUCGGGAAACCGGAGCUAAUACCGGAUAAUAUAUUGAACCGCAUGGUUCAAUAGUGAAAGACGGUUUUGCUGUCACUUAUAGAUGGAUCCGCGCCGCAUUAGCUAGUUGGUAAGGUAACGGCUUACCAAGGCGACGAUGCGUAGCCGACCUGAGAGGGUGAUCGGCCACACUGGAACUGAGACACGGUCCAGACUCCUACGGGAGGCAGCAGUAGGGAAUCUUCCGGAAUGGGCGAAAGCCUGACGGAGCAACGCCGCGUGAGUGAUGAAGGUCUUCGGAUCGUAAAACUCUGUUAUUAGGGAAGAAAAAAUGUGUCAGUAACUAUGCACGUCUUGACGGUACCUAAUCAGAAAGCCACGGCUAACUACGUG
This 497-nucleotide ribosomal RNA is filed under the name uncultured bacterium. RNAcentral's name for it is "partial 16S ribosomal RNA". It matches the Rfam family "Bacterial small subunit ribosomal RNA", at positions 28 to 507 of the family's 1533-position model. The record is from RNAcentral.